This 460-nucleotide ribosomal RNA is filed under the name uncultured bacterium. RNAcentral describes it as "partial 16S ribosomal RNA". It matches the Rfam family "Bacterial small subunit ribosomal RNA", at positions 338 to 795 of the family's 1533-position model. The record is from RNAcentral.
CCUACGGGUGACAGCAGUGAGGAAUAUUGGUCAAUGGACGAGAGUCUGAACCAGCCAAGUAGCGUGAAGGAUGACUGCCAUAUGGGUUGUAAACUUCUUUUAUAUGGGAAUAAAACGUUCCACGUGUGGGAUUUUGUAUGUACCAUAUGAAUAAGGAUCGGCUAACUCCGUGCCAGCAGCCGCGGUAAUACGGAGGAUCCGAGCGUUAUCCGGAUUUAUUGGGUUUAAAGGGAGCGUAGGUGGAUUGUUAAGUCAGUUGUGAAAGUUUGCGGCUCAACCGUAAAAUUGCAGUUGAAACUGGCAGUCUUGAGUACAGUAGAGGUGGGCGGAAUGCGUGGUGUAGCGGUGAAAUGCUUAGAUAUCACGAAGAACUCCGAUUGCGAAGGCAGUUCACUGGACUGCAACUGACACUGAGGCUCGAAAGUGUGGGUAUCAAACAGGAUUAGAUACCCCUGUAGUC